AGGACGAACGCUGGCGGCGCGCUUAACACAUGCAAGUCGAGCGAGAACCAGGCCUUCGGGCCUGGGGAAAGCGGCGAACGGGUGAGUAACACGUGGGUAACCCACCCUUGGUACCGGGAUAGCCCGAGGAAACUCGGAUUAAUACCGGAUGGCCCAACAGCUCUUCGGGGCGGUUGGAAAAGGUAGCUUCGGCCUCCGACCAAGGACGGGCCCGCGGCGGAUUAGCUUGUUGGUGAGGUAACGGCUCACCAAGGCGACGAUCCGUAGCUGGUCUGAGAGGACGAUCAGCCACACUGGGACUGAGACACGGCCCAGACUCCUACGGGAGGCAGCAGUGGGGAAUCUUGCGCAAUGGGCGAAAGCCUGACGCAGCGACGCCGCGUGGGGGAAGAAGGCUUUCGGGUUGUAAACCCCUUUCAGGAAGGACGAAGCCACUCGGGUUAAUAGCCCAGAGGGUGACGGUACUUCCAGAAGAAGCCCCGGCUAACUACGCGCCAGCAGCCGC
RNAcentral lists this ribosomal RNA (505 nucleotides) under uncultured bacterium. RNAcentral's name for it is "SSU rRNA". It matches the Rfam family "Bacterial small subunit ribosomal RNA", at positions 26 to 518 of the family's 1533-position model. The record is from RNAcentral.